AGCAGCCGCGGUAAUUCCAGCUCCAAUAGCGUAUAUUAAAGUUGUUGCAGUUAAAAAGCUCGUAGUUGAAUUUCGGGAUCAAGGAAUCGGUCAUGCCUCGGUAUGUACUGGUUUUAUUGGUUCUCACCUUCUAAAGAACCAUGAUGUCAUUCAUUUGAUGUUAUGGGGAAUUAGGACUGUUACCUUGAAAAAUUAGAGUGUUUAAAGCAGGCUUACGCUUGAAUACAUUAGCAUGGAAUAAUGAAAUAGGACAUCAGAUUCUAUUUUGUUGGUUUCUAGGAUCGAUGUAAUGAUUAAUAGGGAUAGUUGGGGGCAUUAGUAUUCAAUUGUCAGAGGUGAAAUUCUUGGAUUUAUUGAAGACUAACUACUGCGAAAGCAUUUGCCAAGGAUGUUUUCAUUAAUCAAGAACGAAAGUUAGGGGAUCGAAGACGAUCAGAUACCGUCGUAGUCUUAACCAUAAACUAUGCCGACUAG
Molecule: unclassified non-coding RNA, 474 nt
Filed under: uncultured Glomus
Lineage: Eukaryota; Fungi; Glomeromycota; Glomeromycetes; Glomerales; Glomeraceae
Description: SSU rRNA
Rfam family: Eukaryotic small subunit ribosomal RNA
Source: RNAcentral